Molecule: ribosomal RNA, 468 nt
Filed under: uncultured bacterium
Lineage: Bacteria
Description: partial 16S ribosomal RNA
Rfam family: Bacterial small subunit ribosomal RNA
Source: RNAcentral
GACGAACGCUGGCGGCGUGCUUAACACAUGCAAGUCGAACGGAAAGGCCCUGCUUUCGUGGGGUGCCCGAGUGGCGAACGGGUGAGUAACACGUGAGUAACCUGCCCUUGACUUUGGGAUAACUUCAGGAAACUGGGGCUAAUACCGGAUAGGAGCUCCUGCUGCAGGGUGGGGGUUGGAACGUCUCGGCGGUUGGGGAUGGACGCGCGGCUUAUCAGCUUGUUGGUGGGGUAGUGGCUUACCAAGGCUUUGACGGGUAGCCGGCCUGAGAGGGUGACCGGCCACAUUGGGACUGAGGUACGGCGCAGACUCGUAUGUUAGGCAGCGGGGGGAAAUAUUGCACAGUGGGCGGGAGCCUGAUGCAGCAGCGCCGCGUUCGUGAAGACGGCCUUCGGGUUGUAAACCGCUUUCGCCUAUGACGAAGCUGUAGUGACGGUAAUGAGUGAAGAAGCACCGGCUAACUACGUG